CAGCUGAUAGUAUGAAGUUGACUGUGGUCAUCUGUCAGGACGCCAUUGUUAUUGUGAAAAUUUUGUUGUGAAGUACAGUAUUCUUUGUCUGUCUGUCUAGUUUAUAUUAUCGUGUAUUUAAUAUUAAGAAAAAUUAUACGUGUGAAUGUAUUUAAUACAUUAAGAAGAAAGAAAACGUGCUAAUGGGUCUUAUUUGUUCCACAGCACAGCUUGCUUGCCUUUGUGGGAGCACAGCUUGCAGUUUCUGUUGUUCUCAAUGCCCAACAUGUCGCAACAGUACAAGUACUCGUAUUAUGUAUGCAUUAUUAUUAAUGCUAGGAACAAUUGCUGCUUGCAUUACAUUGGCUCCUGGUUUACAGGAUGCACUUAAAAAGGUUCCAUUUUGUAGCAAUAGCUCGAAUUAUGUGGUAUCAAAAUUCACUGUUGAUUGUGAAUCUGCUGUUGGUUACUUAGCAGUAUAUAGAAUAUGUUUUAUUAUAGCUCUUUAUUUUUUCUUAAUGUCAAUCAUAAUGAUAAGAGUAAGAAGUUCCAGAGAUCCUCGAGCUCCUAUACAAAAUGGAUUUUGGGCUAUUAAAUAUCUUUUAAUAAUUGGUGGAAUAAUUGGUGCUUUCUUUAUUCCUGAAAAAUCAUUUGGAACAACAUGGAUGUAUUUUGGAAUGAUAGGUGGUUUUCUUUUUAUUAUUAUUCAAUUAAUUCUUAUUGUUGAUUUUGCCCAUUCCUGGGCAAAUGCUUGGGUAGGAAAUUAUGAAGAAACUGAAUCAAAAGGAUGGUAUGCUGCACUUUUAGGAGCAACAUUAUUUAAUUAUAUUGUUUCUAUUACUGGAAUUGUUUUACUUUUUAUAUAUUUUACACAUGCCAAUAGUUGUGAUUUGAACAAAUUUUUCAUAUCUUUCAAUCUGAUUUUGUGUGUGAUUGCUAGUAUUAUAUCAACUCUUCCAAAUGUACAAGAAUAUAAUCCUCGAUCUGGUCUUCUUCAAUCAUCUGUUGUAUCAUUGUAUGUAGUUUAUUUAACUUGGAGUGGAAUUUCAAAUAAUCCAGAUCAUGAAUGCAAUCCUGGAUUUUUAGAAAUAAUUUUAAAUGAUGCUGAUUCACGAAAUCGUGUUGCUUUUGACAAAGAAAGUAUUAUUGGUUUAAUUAUUUGGUUUAGUUGUGUACUAUAUAGUUCUUUAAGUACUGCAUCUAAAUCAUCAAAGAUUACAAUGUCUGAAAACAUUUUAGUUAAGGAUAAUGGAGCUGUCAGGAAUGCAGGAGACCAGAAUCUUAUCGACAAUGAAGAUUAUACUCCGGUAGAAGGUCGCAAUGCUGAUUCAGAAAGUGGAAAUGAAGCUAAAGUUUGGGAUAAUGAAGAAGAUUCUGUAGCUUACAACUGGAGUUUCUUUCAUCUAAUGUUUGCUCUUGCUACUUUAUAUGUUAUGAUGACACUUACUAAUUGGUAUCAACCAAAUUCCAAUUUGGAUACAUUGAAUGCCAAUACUGCUUCAAUGUGGGUGAAAAUAAUAUCUUCUUGGAUGUGCUUAGGAUUAUAUAUUUGGUCAUUAAUAGCUCCAGCAGUAUUACCAAAUCGAGAUUUCUCUUAAAUAUAUUACUUUCAUUUCAAAAAAAGUGGUAAUUAGCAGUUUUUGCAAUACCUGCGUAGUUAUAAAAUGUUCAUCUAUAGAAAAUGACUUUUAUGAUGCAUCACAAUUACCCAUGCAAAAAUUGCACACCAACCAAUAGGAGCAAAUGCAUUAUACAUUGCUGCAUCUAUCGGAUUAUAUAUAUAAUUUAUAGAUCCCAUAUGUGCAGGUCCAAAAAAUGCACAACAAAACAUUAUUGUACAUAAAAUCCAACCUACAUAUAGAGUUAUCUAAAAAAAUAUAAAAAUAUAUUGUAUCGAUUGAUAAUACAUACAUACAUAUAUAAAAUAAAUAAUAUAAAUAAAUAUUUACUUUAUUCAUCUUAUAA
RNA transcript from Apis mellifera (honey bee), 1944 nucleotides. It is a transcript of the gene named probable serine incorporator, with no coding region annotated. NCBI's taxonomy places the organism in Eukaryota, Metazoa, Arthropoda, Insecta, Hymenoptera, Apidae. The transcript has 12 exons. The record is from RefSeq and is a predicted model, not a curated record.